RNAcentral lists this unclassified non-coding RNA (183 nucleotides) under soil metagenome. RNAcentral describes it as "partial internal transcribed spacer 1". The record is from RNAcentral.
CAAGAAUUGCCGAAAGACUCCUAAACCAUUGUGAACUUAUCCUAACCGUUGCUUCGGCGGGCGGCUCCCUCACGGGGUUCUCCCGGCGCCCCUGGCCCUCAGGCGGUCAGGGCAGCCCGCCGGAGGUCACCAAACUCUUGAUAUUAUAGUGGCCUCUCUGAGUCUUCUUAACUGAAUAAGUCA